GGAGGGUUUUACAUCAUAAAUGACGGGGGUUGAAACAUCUGAAAGAAGGUGCCGCUGCAGGGAGACAAAGAGGAAUGGAGAAGAGAUACUGACUGGCUGAAGGGCGAGAAUCCAAAAAAACACACACGCUUCACAAACAGAAAUGUGGAAGAAAAGGCUGCUGACACCGAGAAGAUAAAAUGGCACCCAAAAAAGCCCCAGCAGCAGACAAGAACAAAGAUGCCAAGGGGAAGUCUGAUGAUGCCAAGCCUGCAGAUGACAAAGGAGAAAAAAAAACACUGUUUCAAAAAAUAAAGGAUUUUUGGGCAAGUCCAAUGGGUAUAUAUGUGGCUAUAGUAUUCACCAUCAUCCUUGUUGUCAUGGCAAUAGGAAGUGCCCUUGUGUGUCUGAAUGAGGCGAGCAGAACAGCUGACCUACGAUAUGCAAUGGAGCUUGUUAAGAAAUUUAUGAUGACAAAAGAUCCAAGCUAUGAAACUAGGG
Non-coding RNA from Pogona vitticeps (central bearded dragon), 480 nucleotides. NCBI's taxonomy places the organism in Eukaryota, Metazoa, Chordata, Lepidosauria, Squamata, Agamidae. The record is from RefSeq and is a predicted model, not a curated record.